GAGACACGGCCCAGACUCCUACGGGAGGCAGCAGUGGGGAAUCUUGCGCAAUGGGCGGAAGCCUGACGCACUGACGCAGCGACGCCGCGUGAGGGAUGACGGCCUUCGGGUUGUAAACCCCUUUCAUUUGGGACGAAGGUUAGUGACGGUACCUGCAGAAGAUGAUCCGGCCAACUACGUGCCGGCCGCCGCGGUAAGACGUAGGGUGCAAGCGUUGUCCGGAUUUAUUGGGCG
Molecule: ribosomal RNA, 234 nt
Filed under: uncultured actinomycete
Lineage: Bacteria; Bacillati; Actinomycetota; Actinomycetes; Actinomycetales
Description: partial 16S ribosomal RNA
Rfam family: Bacterial small subunit ribosomal RNA
Source: RNAcentral